Molecule: long non-coding RNA, 241 nt
Filed under: Lathyrus oleraceus (garden pea)
Lineage: Eukaryota; Viridiplantae; Streptophyta; Magnoliopsida; Fabales; Fabaceae
Description: Pisum sativum (pea) long non-coding RNA (PSAT_LNC025329)
Source: RNAcentral
UAGAAAAUGGUAAAAUAAAAAAUAUUAAAAAUCAUUUUUAGAAACUAGAAAUUAAAAGAGAAAUAAUGCAAUUGGUCCCAUAUUUUUUGGACCAAUAAUAAGAGAGAUAUGAAUUUUAGAAAUAAAAUGGAAUUAAAAGAAAUAAAGAAAAUAAAAUCAGAAAAUAAGAAAAUACGAGAAAAGGAGAGGCGUUGGAUCCAGUCUCAUUAAUUGAGCUGGCACAUCACACUGCCUCUGAACG